GUCGCUUCGCCUCGCCCUUCCCCUUCGCGGAGCUGAGACCCGCGGCACCAGAACCCAGGAGACAGGGGAGACGGCAGAGACUCCAAAGGCGCGGGGCGAUCCCAGCUGGGUUCUCCCCACAGGGAUGCCGAUCCCGCUGGAGACACAGGGCCGAGCCGGGGACGGGUGGAUGGGCGCCUUGACGCUUAGGAGGGCGAGCCGAGCACCAGCACUCUUGCUUUUCGGUCCUUUCCCCCGCCGAGGUCGGGGUCGAAGCAGCCGCCGCCGGAGGAUGGGCGCCCGGCGCACGGAGCAGAGUCAGGAGGGAGCAGAAGCUUCCGCCAAGAGCUCAGGAGCUGGGACAGCCCUGGAGCUCUUCCUGCCCUUCUGCCUGCGGCGGCGGAAGCUCCAGAGUCCCUACUCUUUCUCGGGAGGACUUUAGGGAAGAAGCAGAGGGACAGGGGAAGCCGAGGAGCGAGGGUGCGACGUGGGAAUGGAAGGACAGUGGGAGGCACACGGAAAAACAGAACGGGGACCUUAGACAGGAGAGACGGAAGUGGAGAGAGGCUGGGCUGAAAGGCAGGGAGAGCCAGAGACUGACAGAGGCGGCGAGAAAGGAAGGGAGAGGGAGGGAGGGAGGAGGGAGGAGGGAGGAGAAAGAGGGAGGGAACCAGGAGAGAGGGAAGAGAGCAGGCGGCGGAGCCGGGCGGGCAUGGGGCGAGGCCAGGCGUGCAGGCGGGAGCAGCGUGCAGAGCAGCGGCCGGGUUGUGCUCCCGCCUCGGAGCCCCCGGCCCGGGGGAGAGGGAGAGGCCGCUAGCCUGGUCUAUGUCUUUUUCUGACUCCAGUGCAACCUUCCUGCUGAACGAGGCCCCUGAAAGACAGAGGGAAUUGAAGAGAAAGGAUGAAAGAGGGGGAUACUAGGAAUACUGCGUAACUGGGUGAGGGCACAAAAGUGGGCAGUGUCUGGGAACUUCCAAUACAGAAGAAUCCAGUAUAUGACCAAACCCCAGUUGGUGCUGGACUCAGGAGAGGAGACGGUCCCUUCAGCCACAGGGGCUGCAACAAAGUUGCUUGUCAAACCCAGCAUGAGGAAGGUGCUGGGCAAGGCUGCUCUGGGCCACCCACAGUAGACGGACUAAAGAUGUCAGUCUGAAGAUGCAGCUCUUCUUUGUCUUGCCAAGAUAACACCGAUAAGUGACCCAGGGUUCAGCCGACUCCUAUACCAGCCGCCCAUCUCUGGACUCAGACGUCUCCCUGGAGGAGGACCGGGAGAGUGCCCGGCGUGAAGUAGAGAGCCAGGCUCAGCAGCAGCUCGAAAGGGCCAAGCACAAACCUGUGGCAUUUGCGGUGAGGACCAAUGUCAGCUACUGUGGCGUACUGGAUGAGGAGUGCCCAGUCCAGGGCUCUGGAGUCAACUUUGAGGCCAAAGAUUUUCUGCACAUUAAAGAGAAGUACAGCAAUGACUGGUGGAUCGGGCGGCUAGUGAAAGAGGGCGGGGACAUCGCCUUCAUCCCCAGCCCCCAGCGCCUGGAGAGCAUCCGGCUCAAACAGGAGCAGAAGGCCAGGAGAUCUGGGAACCCUUCCAGCCUGAGUGACAUUGGCAACCGACGCUCGCCUCCACCAUCUCUAGGUAGCCUCCCCCCAACCCACCCAUUUUGGGUAGGUGGGUAGCUAAGACACAGGGAAAGGGGGGAUCCUGCCCAAGUGAACUGUGUGGGAAGGGUUUGUGGAGGGAUCAGAAGGGGUGGGGAGAAGCCAGUAUCUCCCCUGGGGACGGGGAUACCAUGCCCCCAGGGACCUUUCCCCCUUCACCAACUUUAAUCUUAUAUUUCCUUUUCCAAAAAGCCAAGCAGAAGCAAAAGCAGGUGAGUCAAGGAAGGGACCUGGGCUGGGGGGAUCAUGGCUUAUGACUCUGGGGACAGUGUUCUAGGCAGUCAUUGUUGGAGGGUAGAACAGAGAGGGGAGGGAGCCCAGAACCUCUGGAUCUGCCCUGACGCCAACCAGGCAUGAGACAGGCACCAGGGCCAUGGUUUCUACUGACCUCAUGUCCAUUCUGCAGGCGGAACAUGUUCCCCCAUACGACGUGGUGCCCUCUAUGCGGCCUGUGGUGCUGGUGGGACCCUCUCUGAAAGGUUACGAGGUCACAGACAUGAUGCAGAAGGCUCUCUUCGACUUCCUCAAACACAGAUUUGAUGGCAGGAUCUCCAUCACCCGAGUCACAGCCGACCUCUCCCUGGCAAAGCGAUCUGUGCUCAACAAUCCUGGCAAGAGGACCAUCAUUGAGCGCUCCUCUGCCCGCUCCAGCAUUGCGGAAGUGCAGAGUGAGAUCGAGCGCAUAUUUGAGCUGGCCAAAUCCCUGCAGCUAGUAGUGUUGGACGCUGACACCAUCAACCACCCAGCACAGCUGGCCAAGACCUCGCUGGCCCCCAUCAUCGUCUUUGUCAAAGUGUCCUCACCAAAGGUACUCCAGCGUCUCAUUCGCUCCCGGGGGAAGUCACAGAUGAAGCACCUGACCGUACAGAUGAUGGCAUAUGAUAAGCUGGUUCAGUGCCCACCGGAGUCAUUUGAUGUGAUUCUGGAUGAGAACCAGCUGGAGGAUGCCUGUGAGCACCUGGCUGAGUACCUGGAGGUUUACUGGCGGGCCACGCACCACCCAGCUCCUGGCCCCGGACUUCUGGGUCCUCCCAGUGCCAUCCCCGGACUUCAGAACCAGCAGCUGCUGGGGGAGCGUGGCGAGGAGCACUCCCCCCUCGAGCGGGACAGCUUGAUGCCCUCUGAUGAGGCCAGCGAGAGCUCCCGCCAAGCCUGGACAGGAUCUUCACAGCGUAGCUCCCGCCACCUGGAGGAGGACUAUGCAGAUGCCUACCAGGACCUGUACCAGCCUCACCGCCAACACACCUCGGGGCUGCCUAGUGCUAACGGGCAUGACCCCCAAGACCGGCUUCUAGCCCAGGACUCGGAGCACAACCACAAUGACCGGAACUGGCAGCGCAACCGGCCUUGGCCCAAGGAUAGCUACUGACAGCCUCCUGCUGCCCUACCCUGGCAGGCACAGGCGCAGCUGGCUGGGGGGCCCACUCCAGGCAGGGUGGCAUUAGACUGGCAUUAGGCUGGCACUAGGCUCAGCCCCCAAAACCCCCUGCCCAGCCCCAGCUUCAGGGCUGCCUGUGGUCCCAAGGUUCUGGGAGAAACAGGGGGCCCCCUCACCUCCUGGGCAGUGACCCCUACUAGGCUCCCAUUCCAGGUACUAGCUGUGUGUUCUGCACCCCUGGCACCUUCCUCUCCUCCCACACAGGAAGCUGCCCCACUGGGCAGUGCCCUCAGGCCAGGAUCCCCUUAGCAGGGUCCUUCCCACCAGACUCAGGGAAGGGAUGCCCCAUUAAAGUGGCAAAAAGGUGGGGUGUGGGCACCAUGGCAUGAGGAAGAAACAAGGUCCCUGAGCAGGCACAAGUCCUGACAAUCAAGGGACUGCUUUGGCAUCCAGGGCCUCCAGUCACCUCACUGCCACACAUUAGAAAUGAGACAAUCAUAGCCCCCCAGGGUGGCACACCCAUCCAUUUGCUGGGGUGUGGCAGCCACAUCCAAGACUGGAGCAGCAGGCUGGCCACACUCGGGCCAGAGAGAGCUCACAGCCGAAGCUCUUGGAGGGAAGGGCUCUCCUCACCCUGCCAAGAAGCUUCUUAACAUGUGACAGGACCAGGGACCAGGAGCAUGGUGAAGCCAAGUGGCAGACGGGAGCCAACCUGGAUGGGGGUUUGGGGAAGGAAGGCGUGUGUAGCAGAGAACUUAGGGGGGCCUCUUUGCCUUUCUCAUUCUUUUGCCCUGCAUCCUGUCAUUUCUGUUCUUGUCCCUCAUACAUCCUGGGAGAACCGGGCUCCAGACUUUGUUCCCUGACUCAUAGCUGCCGCUUGUUAGGUUAGGGUUAGAUGGGGAGAGACAGGGCACAGAGGACCUGUUUCCCCGGCUACUCUUGCCUUAUGGCUCUAGUGUGUGACCUACAGAGCAUGCUCCACAAGCCCCUGCCUCACCUCACUGUCAUCACUAAUAAACAUCAUGCACAGUC
This 4042-nucleotide small RNA is filed under the name Pongo abelii (Sumatran orangutan). Its description in RNAcentral is "retained intron". Lineage: Eukaryota; Metazoa; Chordata; Mammalia; Primates; Hominidae. The record is from RNAcentral.